Molecule: small nucleolar RNA, 96 nt
Filed under: Ricinus communis (castor bean)
Lineage: Eukaryota; Viridiplantae; Streptophyta; Magnoliopsida; Malpighiales; Euphorbiaceae
Description: Plant small nucleolar RNA R71
Rfam family: Plant small nucleolar RNA R71
About the family: R71 is a member of the C/D box family of snoRNAs containing the C (UGAUGA) and D (CUGA) box motifs. Multiple nearly identical copies of this snoRNA have been identified in Arabidopsis, and it is thought to function as a 2'-O-ribose methylation guide for 18S ribosomal RNA.
Source: Rfam by way of RNAcentral
AAUCCAUGAUGUGGGCAGCAUCUUAAAAGAUCCUUGAACCUCUCCCAUGCUUUCGUCAUCAAACUGUACAAAAGAAGAUAUGUCAUUUCUAAGUUU